GCUCCGGCGACUUUGGCUUUGUCAAGCUUGUCUGACUCGUGACGAGCAGCGGCUUGAGCAGCUUCGGCUACGAUCUUGGCACUAGCCAUGAGCUCAGCGUUCGUAGCCGGUCUGUGUGUUGUUGGAUCGGUGUUGGAGACCGGUU
This 145-nucleotide small RNA is filed under the name Arabidopsis thaliana (thale cress). RNAcentral describes it as "ATSL080380". The record is from RNAcentral. Lineage: Eukaryota; Viridiplantae; Streptophyta; Magnoliopsida; Brassicales; Brassicaceae.